GAUGAACGCUGGCGGCGUGCUUAACACAUGCAAGUCGAACGGAAAGGCCAGUGCUUGCACUGGUACUCGAGUGGCGAACGGGUGAGUAACACGUGGGUGAUCUGCCCUGCACUUCGGGAUAAGCCUGGGAAACUGGGUCUAAUACCGGAUAGGACAAUGGUUUGGAUGCCGUUGUGGAAAGUUUUUUCGGUGUGGGAUGAGCUCGCGGCCUAUCAGCUUGUCGGUGGGGUAAUGGCCUACCAAGGCGUCGACGGGUAGCCGGCCUGAGAGGGUGUACGGCCACAUUGGGACUGGGAUACAGCCCGGAGUCCUACGGGGGGCAGCAGUGGGGAAUAUUGCACAAUGGGCGCAAGCCUGAUGCAGCGACGCCGCGUGGGGGAUGACGGCCUUCGGGUUGUAAACUCCUUUCGCUAGGGACGAAGCGUAUUUGUGACGGUACCUGGAGAAGAAGCACCGGCUAACUACGUG
Molecule: ribosomal RNA, 468 nt
Filed under: uncultured bacterium
Lineage: Bacteria
Description: partial 16S ribosomal RNA
Rfam family: Bacterial small subunit ribosomal RNA
Source: RNAcentral